This 225-nucleotide ribosomal RNA is filed under the name uncultured bacterium. Its description in RNAcentral is "partial 16S ribosomal RNA". It matches the Rfam family "Bacterial small subunit ribosomal RNA", at positions 109 to 334 of the family's 1533-position model. The record is from RNAcentral.
AGUAAUGAAUCGCUAAUGUACCCCGGACUCCGGGAUAGCUGCCCGAAAGGGCAGGUAAUACCGGAUGACAUAACCGCACGGCAUCGUGUGGUUCUCAAGGGUCCGCCGGUCUGGGAGCAGGCGAUUUCGUAUCAGCUAGUUGGUGAGGUAACGGCUCACCAAGGCGACGACGCGUAGCCGGACUGAGAGGCUGGCCGGCCACAUCGGGACUGAGACACUGCCCGG